CCUAUAGCUCAGUUGGUAGAGCAGCUGACUCUUAAUCAGCGGGUCCAAGGUUCGAAUCCUUGUAGG
This 66-nucleotide transfer RNA is filed under the name uncultured Henriciella sp. It matches the Rfam family "tRNA". Rfam says of the family: Transfer RNA (tRNA) molecules are approximately 80 nucleotides in length. Their secondary structure includes four short double-helical elements and three loops (D, anti-codon, and T loops). Lineage: Bacteria; Pseudomonadati; Pseudomonadota; Alphaproteobacteria; Hyphomonadales; Hyphomonadaceae. The record is from RNAcentral.